GAAUGGAAGAAAAUAUUAGGCACCGGAAGACCGAAGUAACGGUCAAGAAACAGAAGAAGAGAGAGAGUUCCAAGGGACUUUCUUUCUGUUUGCUAAGUUGUAACUUUCAUUCUGUAAGGUUUUGUGAUAAGAAGCAGGAUUGGUGCCCACAUUGCACACCAUGUUGUUCAUUAUUUGGGCAAUCAGAGAACUAAAUUUCUGUAACUGCUGCUUCAUUUAAAGUCACAUACAGUAUUGGCAUCAUUCAGUUGGCACACUGCAAUAAUGGCACAGUAUUUUGUUUAUAAUUUUACUGGAGAUGGAAAAGUAUCCACAAAGUGUUCAGCAUGUGUUAUAUUGAUGUUGUUCAAAGAGUGUAAUGAUUGUUUUUUAUGUUAAUUAUCUUUGGGUGAGGGGGUUCACUGUCCAGUAAUUUAUGAGAGAUAACAAAUGCAUAUACAUCUCUGUGUUACAUAUGUGUAGUGAGAGCCAUGCAUGUAAAGAAAAGUCUCAAUUAGUGGUGAUCAAUUAAUCAGGAUCAAACCAUGCAGUCCCUAUUUAAUAAAGCAUUAUCAUUUUCAUGUAAAAAAUUAGUGCUAUUACUUGGAUGAAUUGCUCAUGGAAUUUUACCAAUAAGUUCUUUGUUUACAUGUAAAGAAAAUAGGCACAUCUAAAAGCUUUAUUAAGUUGGUAUUUGAUUUGUCACUUCUUUAAUUCCAUACACUGUGAUAUCCUGGAUCUGAUUUAGCCAUGUGAGAAUGUAAAGAGGGAGAUGAUUAAGAAUUUAGCUUCAGCUGGUAUUCUUGGAACCAUGGCCAAGAUCCAUAUCACACUUGGAAAGUGGAUGAUGUGGAGUACUGACAUAUUCUUUGAUGCCAGACUCUUGUAAUAUACAUGUUACAGAAAUCAGCUGAAACAUUCUGCAAGACUUUAGUUGAAAUCCCAACAGAGAUCAAGCUGGCUACAAUCUUUAAGUAUUCUAUUUACUAGAUUUCCCCCCUUUGGGGCACUUUGCGUGACAUGAUACGGCUAAAAACCAGCAUUGUGGCAACAUUCUCAUCAGUCAUAAUGACAGAACACUUUAAUACCCAAGGGCUGACAACUACUUAGCUAUAGUAAAGUUUUGUUGUUGAUGCCAGUGGUAAGUUUGGUUAAUCUUUGGUUUUCUGUGAAUAGCGGUCGUAUUUGGCAGAAUUUUGCUGAGAGUGUUUUAUGUUGCAAGAGAAUACAGAUUUUUGUGGUAUAGGUGGUUUCCAUUAUAAUAAAGCGUUGCAACUGUGACAGAUUAUUAUUGAGGUGGCUAUUUGUUUUUAUUGUCCAUCGGACUUUCCUGUUAACUUCUAUUAUACGAACGGUUAGAAUGCCAGUUAAGAAUUUGGGUCCUUACGAAUCGUGUUUCCGCAAAUGCAGCCAGCAGAAAAUUCACCAUGUUUUAAUCUGUGGUGUAGGAGAUCCAAGAUUCUACCAGUGUGCGGUGUGAUUAUACGAAACGUGUUAUCAAGGGUUAUUUCUGCUAGUGGACAUUAAGUCACAGAUUAGAAACAGAAAUAAGCACAGAACAUUCAUGAAAAGAUGGCACACUGAAUACUUGCAGAGGAAUAUUUUCCAUUGAUUUGGACCUGUUGGAAACUUGUUAAGUUGGUGUGUACAUCUUGUGGCCGGAGAGAUGAAGGUGAGUUUGAAUUCAAUUCCAAUAUUUUUGUGUUUAUUUUCUGACGGAUGUUGUUAUAUGUAGGCUUAAUCAAAAUCGCUUUUUAUGUUUGAUAUUCACAGCAGGCGUGUGUGCACAGAAUCCUCUCUCUUUGGGUAUAUUCUGUAUUCCAUCUUGAGAUGUCAAAUGAAGCAACAUAUUAAAAUCACUUAAAAUGAUAAUAUAAGAAUUGUAGGAGUAAUUCAGGUGUGAGAAGACAGUUGAGGGCUAUAAAACAAUUACUUCUACGACGAUCAGUUUUGAGAAAAUUGUGAAUAAGAUAUUGCUGGUUGUGUAAAUAUUUCUAGGUUAUAAUUAAUUUUAAAAAGUAUGAGGUUGAAGCAAGCCUCAGGUUUUUUCUUUCAGUUGCUAAAGGGAAGACAAACUUAUCCCUGAUGCUUAAAUCAGCAUGUAAAGGUUGUGAUGGCGCACUGAAUGGUAUUUCUUCCACCUGAAAAUGUCUCAAUGACAUUUGAUUCCAAACGUUCCGACGACAGUCUGAUGGAAUUUAAUGAAGAAAACUGUUUCUUUGAAUUGUUAUAUCAUCAGAACAUUAGAGGCCUUUCAACCCAAAACUUUGAGACCACCCAGAAAAUCUCCUGGUUUUCCAUCAGAACAUCAGAGGACUUUUCCCAAAAACUGAAGAAUUGGUAAUUUCUCUUAAAAAUGCCCAAUUACCACAUAUUCUUUGACUAACUGAACAUCAUUUGAAAGCACCAGAUAUCUUACAGGGCCUCGUCGUUUCCCUGUAGAAGAUUUCUGGUGCAUUAGAGGAAGUGGGGGGAAUCACGCCGCCUGAGGCAAUGCCGCAACCUAAAUAUUUUUCAAACGAUUUGAAUUGAGCGCGCUCUGUUCGCAUUGAAAUCUUGGUGACGUCAUACAAACAGUCUAGAGCGCUUAUGGCCGACUGACUACGUUGUCGUGUUUUGUUUGUGGUGAAGAAAAAUCUCAUUGUAGGCAUGUCUAGUCUAAUUUUUGAAGUUUGCAGAUUGCAUGCAGGAUAAACUAACAUACUCCAUCUGCUGUACACUGUGGUACUUGGCCCCUGAAGCAAUGAGGGGAUAGGGCACAGCAUGGUAAUUAUUCACCACCAUGAGUAUGUAGAAAUUUAAAUGUUAAAUAUAGUGUGAUAUUCACCUCUUGUAUUAAAGUACACAACAAAAUUUGCAACAUCUUUUGAUAAGAAAUGUAAUUAAGCUUGCAGCAGUGAAAUAAGUACAUACCAGAGUUAUCAAUCAUAGGCACAUCUACAACUGAAAUUUUAAAAAAUACCCCUGUUAGCUCUUUUGUUUGUGUUUGUUGGCCGUCUCUCCAUCAACAUUGAAGAUGCCAGGAUCGGAUUUUCAUUAUAUUUCUUAAUAAUGCGGACACAUUUUCUUACCAUUAUAAAGGAAUAUUUCUGCAUAUGUAUUAAAGAAUACCAUAUGUUACAUAUAUGAAAUCGUAGAUACAUUUGUUUAUUGUUACGAAAACACAAAUCUAGUUCUUAAAUCGUUGGAUAUGUAAUGAAAUGAUGUACCAUAAUUAUGUAUGUUAAAUAUAUAAUGUUUAAAGCAAGGACAGAAGGUAUUUGAAGGAAGUUGGCUGGAAUUAUGGACAGUUGUGGAGUAUGAUAAUAGGGAACCUACAACAGUGGAAACUUCGCAAGAAUGAGGUUAUGUAAUAACAAAUGAAAUAUACAAUGUAUAAACUAAGAGAAUUGUAUGAGGAAAGAAUUGCAGCAUAUUUUAAGGUAUUUUCCUACCAUUUGCUUGGAAAGGCCAAGGAUAACAAAAAAAGUCAGUCAGGAUAGUCAGUCCCAGUUUCAACACAGCAGGCUCCCCCCCUUCCCCAUGCUCAUGCAUAUUUUCCAGUUCUGAUGUGUUAUUGCAGGUGAUGUGAUGCAGCAGUUAGUACAUGCUCCCAUAGCUUUGGCAAUUGGGCUGAGUUUUGGGAUAGGAUGGGGAAUUCUUUUGAUG
Zootermopsis nevadensis is the source of this 3627-nucleotide non-coding RNA. NCBI's taxonomy places the organism in Eukaryota, Metazoa, Arthropoda, Insecta, Blattodea, Termopsidae. The record is from RefSeq and is a predicted model, not a curated record.